RNAcentral lists this ribosomal RNA (253 nucleotides) under uncultured bacterium. Its description in RNAcentral is "partial 16S ribosomal RNA". It matches the Rfam family "Bacterial small subunit ribosomal RNA", at positions 524 to 776 of the family's 1533-position model. The record is from RNAcentral.
UACAGAGGGUGCGAGCGUUAAUCGGAAUUACUGGGCGUAAAGCGUGCGUAGACGGUUAUCUAAGUCGGAUGUGAAAGCCCCGGGCUCAACCUGGGAAUUGCAUUCGAGACUGAAUAGCUAGGGUACGGUAGAGGGAAGUGGAAUUUCCGGUGUAGCGGUGAAAUUCGUAGAUAUUCGGAAGAACACCAGUGGCGAAGGCGACACACUGGCCCGUUACUGACGCUGAGGCUCGAAAGCGUGGGGAGCAAACAGG